CAGACAGACGCCAGAGCUUCACAUCCCUAGCCUUACGUAAGCGCUACAGCUACUUGACUGAGCCCAGCAUGAGUCCACAGAGUCCUUGUGAGCGGACGGAUAUCAGGAUGGCAAUAGUAGCCGAUCACCUGGGACUUAGUUGGACAGAGCUGGCAAGGGAACUGAAUUUUUCAGUGGAUGAAAUCAACCAAAUACGAGUGGAAAAUCCCAAUUCUUUAAUUUCUCAGAGCUUCAUGUUAUUAAAAAACUGAUGCCUUAACUUCGGUCUUAACAAAAAUUAACCGAAUAGACAUAGUAACUCUGCUGGAAGGACCAAUAUUUGAUUAUGGGAAUAUUUCAGGCACCAGAAGCUUUGCAGAUGAAAACAAUGUUUUCCAUGACCCAGUUGAUG
This 391-nucleotide long non-coding RNA is filed under the name Rattus norvegicus (Norway rat). Its description in RNAcentral is "long non-coding RNA NONRATT017327". The record is from RNAcentral. Lineage: Eukaryota; Metazoa; Chordata; Mammalia; Rodentia; Muridae.